This 301-nucleotide ribosomal RNA is filed under the name uncultured bacterium. RNAcentral describes it as "partial 16S ribosomal RNA". It matches the Rfam family "Bacterial small subunit ribosomal RNA", at positions 509 to 807 of the family's 1533-position model. The record is from RNAcentral.
CAGCCGCCGCGGUAACACGUAGGGUGCAAGCGUUAAUCGGAAUUACUGGGCGUAAAGCGUGCGCAGGCGGUUUGUUAAGACAGAUGUGAAAUCCCCGGGCUCAACCUGGGAACUGCAUUUGUGACUGGCAAGCUAGAGUGUGGCAGAGGGGGGUGGAAUUCCGCGUGUAGCAGUGAAAUGCGUAGAUAUGCGGAGGAACACCGAUGGCGAAGGCAGCCCCCUGGGCCAACACUGACGCUCAUGCACGAAAGCGUGGGGAGCAAACAGGAUUAGAUACCCCUGUAGUCCCUGUCUCUUAUAC